UACGUCCCGGGCCUUGUACACACCGCCCGUCAAGUCACGAAAGUCGGUAACACCCGAAGCCGGUGGCCCAACCCUCGUGGAGGGAGCCGUCGAAGGUGGGACUGGCGAUUGGGACU
This 116-nucleotide ribosomal RNA is filed under the name uncultured bacterium. RNAcentral's name for it is "partial 16S ribosomal RNA". It matches the Rfam family "Bacterial small subunit ribosomal RNA", at positions 1367 to 1482 of the family's 1533-position model. The record is from RNAcentral.